UACGUAGGGUGCGAGCGUUGUCCGGAAUUAUUGGGCGUAAAGAGCUUGUAGGCGGUUUGUCGCGUCUGCUGUGAAAAUCCGGGGCUCAACCCCGGACUUGCAGUGGGUACGGGCAGACUAGAGUGUGGUAGGGGAGACUGGAAUUCCGUGGUGAGCGGUGGAAUGCGCAGAGUAUCAGGAGGAACACCGGUGCGGAAGGCGGA
This 203-nucleotide ribosomal RNA is filed under the name uncultured bacterium. RNAcentral describes it as "partial 16S ribosomal RNA". It matches the Rfam family "Bacterial small subunit ribosomal RNA", at positions 524 to 726 of the family's 1533-position model. The record is from RNAcentral.